GAGAUGUGAGUCAUCUGGACUCGUCGAACUGCUCAGUAACACGUAGCUAACCUACCCUCAAGAGGAGGAUAAUCCUGGAAAACUGGGGCUAAUACUCCAUAGUUGUAUAGUGCUGGAAUGCCUUUACAACCAAAGCUUCGGCGCUUGAGGAUGGGGCUGCGGCCUAUCAUGGCUGUUGUGAGUGUAAUGUACUCACAAACCUAUAACGGGUAAGGGUCAUGAAAGUGAGAGCCCUGAGAUGCUUUCUGAGACAUGAAAGCAGGUCCUACGGGACGCAGCAAGCGCGAAACCUUUCCAAUGGCUUAACGGUCGAGAAGGGAAUCCUGAGUGACUAUACAUUGUAUAGUCUUUUGUUUUGUCUAAAUAGCAAGACGAAUAAGUGGUGGGUAAGACGGGUGGCAGCCGCCGCGGUAAUACCCGCGCCGCAAGUGGUGACCGCUGUUAUUGGGUUUAAAGCGUCCGUAGCCGGUUUAGCAAGUUCUUUGUGAAAUCCAGCAGCUAACUGUUGGGCUUGUUGAGAAUACUACUACACUUGGGAUUGGGAGAGGGUAGAGGUAUUCCAUGUGU
This 567-nucleotide ribosomal RNA is filed under the name uncultured archaeon. RNAcentral describes it as "bacterial SSU rRNA". It matches the Rfam family "Archaeal small subunit ribosomal RNA", at positions 55 to 627 of the family's 1478-position model. The record is from RNAcentral.